Galeopterus variegatus (Sunda flying lemur) is the source of this 355-nucleotide long non-coding RNA. RefSeq lists it as uncharacterized. The transcript is spliced from 2 exons. The record is from RefSeq and is a predicted model, not a curated record. Lineage: Eukaryota; Metazoa; Chordata; Mammalia; Dermoptera; Cynocephalidae.
GUCUGUGGUAACAAAUGUCUUCUGUUUUGCUUGCCUGAGAAGGUCGUGUUCUUCUCUUGGAAGGUGCUUUUGUUGGGAACACAAUGUGUGGCUGGCAGUUCUUCCCCAAACAUGUAUCUGAAGACUGCGGAGCCGACUCUUCUGUCCACUGCUUCUCCUGACCCUCUCAUGGUGCCUUGUUUCCUGGCGUAUUUUGUGAUUUUGGGCUGUGAGUUUGUAUUUCUUGGAACCUUACCUCUGGAAUUUCUCUAAGAGAUUCUGGGCUCUUCUAGAAAAAAAUUAGUAUUUACUUCUGCCAUGUAACUGGGGUGCUAUCGAUCUAGCACCACUUUAAAAUAAAGCACUGGGUGCGGGU